This 1005-nucleotide long non-coding RNA is filed under the name Capra hircus (goat). RNAcentral describes it as "lncRNA (ENSCHIG00000002143.1)". Lineage: Eukaryota; Metazoa; Chordata; Mammalia; Artiodactyla; Bovidae. The record is from RNAcentral.
GAAAUUGAGGAGAAAUAGGUGAACAGCGAAAUAAUUGAGGGCAAGUUGUGCAUUUGAAUCAACAACCCUACGCAGUAAAACUUAUUCUCCUUAUUUCACAGAUGAAGAAACUAAGGCUUGGAGAGCCUGAGCGGGUUGUGCAAGACUGCAUUGUGAUCAGCACGAUGAAAGGUAAAUCUCGACUCCAAAGUCGAGCUCUUACCAUUAGGUUAUGAGGCACCACUGAGGGUCUGGCUGGAAAUGGGUCAUAACUUUGCGGAGGUUUCUUUGAUGGGUGGAAUUGCCCCUCUGGCCUCAGGUUUCUCACCUUUCAGAUGAAGGCUUUGCAGCAGGUGGGUUCUCCAUGAGAAACAAACAAAUAAAAGGUCUUUGAACGGAGAGGCUGAGUGGGGUGCCUCUCACGCAGGACUGGAACCAUCUGACCACUGGUCUCUGUCCCUCAGGAGGGCAGACCUUUCUGUAUCACACAGCGCUAACACUCAGCCAGAAGACGGUGGCCUCUCUAGACCUGACAUGAAAUGAAAGGUCCCGAGCUGGGUGAGGGCCGGGGCAGGGGAUCAAAACAGUGAAGGGAACAAACCCAUAAUAAAGCUGGCCUUCCUUCAGGCAGAAACUGCAAGGUGCAGACGGGCCUCUCCGGAAUUCUCCCUGCAUGGACUGGAAGGGGUGGCCUGAGCCCUCCUCCCAGGCAGCACAUCUCUGCCCUCAAUUAUCCACCUCCACUCAGGGUUCACUUCCUGAGUGAGGAGCUCUGUGUCGACGUGGGACCAUUUUUACAAGAUGACUUCUCCGAGUCACAUUCCGUUGUUUUAUCUAUAAAAAUUCUGCCUCGGAGACAGACCAGCUUUUUAAACACAGGGUGGUUUUAUCUGCUUGGCCUGUUUAUUGCUUAAUGCCAAGAAGGCUUUCUGAAGAUGCAGAUGCCUUGAACUAACCUCUAAGCAAGAGGGACUCAGUGUGCCUCAGUUGAUUUUCUUUUUCCUCUUUCACAAAUGGAAAUGAAAG